GGGUCUGCAAGGCAUCGUGCCUAAAGGAUGAGGAAUUUUAAAGACGCACUCGAGGGCAGGUUUUGGAAAUUCCUGUUGCCCUUUUGUGGUUUUACAGCUUCGGGAUAGUAUUUGUCCGGAAUUUCUUUUUUAAAGUCUUAGGAAAGUUUGGUGCUUUAAUGUAGUCUGUGUUUUUAACAGUCUCUUUUGUGCUCGCUUGAAAACAAUCUGCGUCCAAGUGUAUUAACUUGAAUUCACACAUGGUUCCACUGGUUUAUGCAAAUUUUUCUUUAAGUUUGUUUCUGUAAAGACAUCGUGGUACCUGCAGUGGCCUCUCUUUGGGGAAAGACUUUGGUAUAUGCCAUUUUGAAAACAAUCAUUUCAGUGGUACAUUCGCUUAAAGUGUUGAAGCCUGUGAGAUCCAUGACUCAAGUGAAAGAUGCGGAUGGUGCGUGGCUUUGGUUUGUGCCGCGGUUAGAGACAGAUAGCUCUGCACAGUGCCUUUUGUGUUUUCUAAAACUCAGUAGAGGACAAAACUUGUGUUUUGCUAUGAAGUACCUAUAACGUGUCAAGCAAAUGAUUUAAACACUUAGUUAUUUCUGU
Molecule: long non-coding RNA, 582 nt
Filed under: Bos taurus (domestic cattle)
Lineage: Eukaryota; Metazoa; Chordata; Mammalia; Artiodactyla; Bovidae
Description: long non-coding RNA NONBTAT014137
Source: RNAcentral